Molecule: ribosomal RNA, 254 nt
Filed under: uncultured bacterium
Lineage: Bacteria
Description: partial 16S ribosomal RNA
Rfam family: Bacterial small subunit ribosomal RNA
Source: RNAcentral
UACGAAGGGGGCUAGCGUUGCUCGGAAUCACUGGGCGUAAAGCGCACGUAGGCGGCUUCUUAAGUCAGGGGUGAAAUCCUGGAGCUCAACUCCAGAACUGCCUUUGAUACUGAGGAGCUUGGAGUCCGGGAGAGGUGAGUGGAACUGCGAGUGUAGAGGUGAAAUUCGUAGAUAUUCGCAAGAACACCAGUGGCGAAGGCGGCUCACUGGCCCGGUACUGACGCUGAGGCACGAAAGCGUGGGGAGCAAACAGG